Molecule: long non-coding RNA, 1398 nt
Organism: Salvelinus sp. IW2-2015
Lineage: Eukaryota; Metazoa; Chordata; Actinopteri; Salmoniformes; Salmonidae
Source: RefSeq, a predicted model, not a curated record
UUGCUUAUUUUAUGCCUUUCUAAUUAUCAUGCCUUUUAUGUCUAUGCUUAUUUUCUUUGAUGUAUAGAAACACGUUAGUGUGUUAUUGGAGGGCGAGAGUCCAAAAAUAAAAAAUGCAGCAGCAGUCAACUUCAUCACUGUCCCUUCUGCACAUAUAAGGCUGAACAAUAUAUGGUCAACAACCACAUCAAAGGUCCUGCUUCAGUGAGGCAGAGAGUUCACAAUCAGAAAGUGUGGCUUCAGUUGUAGAAAUACGACACACUUUCAUUGUUGCUAUUGCACAGCAACAAUAAUCAACAGAGCACAGUUUCGGAAGCACCUGACAUACCAUCAGCAUCCAGUGACCCCUCAAGAGCACCCAGAGGCCCUUAAAUUCUCAUCACUAGUGGAUAUAAGGUUUUUUGUGAUCCCCAUCCGAUUGUGUGAUUUUCUUUUUCAAAGGAAAACAUGCAGCAAAUUAGGCAAUGGUGGUGCCUAGUUUUCCUGCAGAACUUUCCCAUACCGUGUGAAGAAGAGGUUGAAAGAUGGAAAAAGGCUUAAGGAAAAAGGCUUAAGGAAAAACACACUAUAGGAUGUAGAAGACGUCCCCCCUAAGAAGUCACAGCAUGUCACAUCAGCAUCCAGCUCUGCAGGAACAGACGAUACUGAAAACAAAWUGCARGGCGAACUGGGAGCUGUGAACUGGGAAGCAGAUGUUCUUCUCAGGGACAGCCUAGAGGCAGCAAGGUGGUGCGAACGCCAAACAUUUAAAGGCACCGUUUCCCUCCCAAGUGUAAUUGGGAUGGACGGGGAAGACCGUAUUACAACUCUUAAAGAACUACGGUUGUAUGAUGGCCUGGAUGAAGAGGAAAAUAUUCUCCUCAAGGAACCAUUCAUGUUCUCGUUCCAGUUAGAGAUUAUGAGAUGUUCUAUGUGGAGGCAGUUGACAACAAGAAAAUGUUGAGCAGGAGUGAAGCCAUUUGAAGAGUGGUCAAACCUUGUUUUUGUCUGCUGUGUUAAUUGUUUCAAUUAUUAAUUGUGUUAUGUUGUUUAGUACAGAUGGUGUAGAAGUCACCCGAGUCUCUGAUCUCUUUACUGGAGCUGGUAUAACUUAAUGUACAGAGCACAUUCAGCUUGUCAGUAUGUCUAUAUGGUAUAGUCUGUCUCCAUUCUCAUGAGGAAAAUAAAAAGCAUUAUAAAUCAGGAUAGGUAGUAACUGUAUAUAUGCUCAAUUAAAUAAUAUAAUUACAAAGUUAUAACAUUUAUCAACACAAUUUUAACAGUACAUGACAUACAUAACAAGUCUGUUGUUCACUGCAACAAUAUCAGUAUCUUGUCUCAAAUAUAGCAUGAAGCAGAAAGUGUUACAACAUGUGCUGGUACCACUUUAUAUAAUAUUUCUUACAAUCUUCAAAAAUG